UAACGAGUAAGUCCUGCUGAAAGGAUGACGGCUCAGGAUUGAGCUCAGGACCAGUAAGCAGGGUUCGUUU
Molecule: non-coding RNA, 70 nt
Submitted as: unclassified sequences
Source: Rfam